This 301-nucleotide ribosomal RNA is filed under the name uncultured bacterium. Its description in RNAcentral is "partial 16S ribosomal RNA". It matches the Rfam family "Bacterial small subunit ribosomal RNA", at positions 509 to 807 of the family's 1533-position model. The record is from RNAcentral.
CAGUCGCCGCGGGAAUACGUAGGGUGCAAGCGCUAAUCGGAAUUACUGGGCGUAAAGCGUGCGCAGGCGGUUUGUUAAGACAGAUGUGAAAUCCCCGGGCUCAACCUGGGAACUGCAUUUGUGACUGGCAGGCUAGAGUAUGGCAGAGGGGGGUGGGAUUCCGCGUGUAGCGGUGAAAUGCGUAGAUAUGCGGAGGAACACCGAUGGCGAAGGCAGCCCCCUGGGCCAAUACUGACGCUCAUGCACGAAAGCGUGGGGAGCAAACAGGAUUAGAUACCCGAGUAGUCCCUGUCUCUUAUAC